GAUGAACGCUGGCGGCGUGCCUAAUACAUGCAAGUCGAGCGAACGGACGAGAAGCUUGCCUCUCUGAUGUUAGCGGCGGACGGGUGAGUAACACGUGGAUAACCUACCUAUAAGACUGGGAUAACUUCGGGAAACCGGAGCUAAUACCGGAUAAUAUUUUGAACCGCAUGGUUCAAAAGUGAAAGACGGUCUUGCUGUCACUUAUAGAUGGAUCCGCGCUGCAUUAGCUAGUUGGUAAGGUAACGGCUUACCAAGGCAACGAUGCAUAGCCGACCUGAGAGGGUGAUCGGCCACACUGGAACUGAGACACGGUCCAGACUCCUACGGGAGGCAGCAGUAGGGAAUCUUCCGCAAUGGGCGAAAGCCUGACGGAGCAACGCCGCGUGAGUGAUGAAGGUCUUCGGAUCGUAAAACUCUGUUAUUAGGGAAGAACAUAUGUGUAAGUAACUGUGCACAUCUUGACGGUACCGAAUCAGAAAGCCACGGCUAACUACGU
This 496-nucleotide ribosomal RNA is filed under the name uncultured bacterium. Its description in RNAcentral is "partial 16S ribosomal RNA". It matches the Rfam family "Bacterial small subunit ribosomal RNA", at positions 28 to 506 of the family's 1533-position model. The record is from RNAcentral.